This 1725-nucleotide ribosomal RNA is filed under the name Escherichia coli. Its description in RNAcentral is "partial 23S ribosomal RNA". It matches the Rfam family "Bacterial large subunit ribosomal RNA", at positions 119 to 1869 of the family's 2925-position model. Lineage: Bacteria; Pseudomonadati; Pseudomonadota; Gammaproteobacteria; Enterobacterales; Enterobacteriaceae. The record is from RNAcentral.
UGGGGAAACCCAGUGUGAUUCGUCACACUAUCAUUAACUGAAUCCAUAGGUUAAUGAGGCGAACCGGGGGAACUGAAACAUCUAAGUACCCCGAGGAAAAGAAAUCAACCGAGAUUCCCCCAGUAGCGGCGAGCGAACGGGGAGGAGCCCAGAGCCUGAAUCAGUGUGUGUGUUAGUGGAAGCGUCUGGAAAGGCGCGCGAUACAGGGUGACAGCCCCGUACACAAAAAUGCACAUGCUGUGAGCUCGAUGAGUAGGGCGGGACACGUGGUAUCCUGUCUGAAUAUGGGGGGACCAUCCUCCAAGGCUAAAUACUCCUGACUGACCGAUAGUGAACCAGUACCGUGAGGGAAAGGCGAAAAGAACCCCGGCGAGGGGAGUGAAAAAGAACCUGAAACCGUGUACGUACAAGCAGUGGGAGCACAGAGCAAUCUGUGUGACUGCGUACCUUUUGUAUAAUGGGUCAGCGACUUAUAUUCUGUAGCAAGGUUAACCGAAUAGGGGAGCCGAAGGGAAACCGAGUCUUAACUGGGCGUUAAGUUGCAGGGUAUAGACCCGAAACCCGGUGAUCUAGCCAUGGGCAGGUUGAAGGUUGGGUAACACUAACUGGAGGACCGAACCGACUAAUGUUGAAAAAUUAGCGGAUGACUUGUGGCUGGGGGUGAAAGGCCAAUCAAACCGGGAGAUAGCUGGUUCUCCCCGAAAGCUAUUUAGGUAGCGCCUCGUGAAUUCAUCUCCGGGGGUAGAGCACUGUUUCGGCAAGGGGGUCAUCCCGACUUACCAACCCGAUGCAAACUGCGAAUACCGGAGAAUGUUAUCACGGGAGACACACGGCGGGUGCUAACGUCCGUCGUGAAGAGGGAAACAACCCAGACCGCCAGCUAAGGUCCCAAAGUCAUGGUUAAGUGGGAAACGAUGUGGGAAGGCCCAGACAGCCAGGAUGUUGGCUUAGAAGCAGCCAUCAUUUAAAGAAAGCGUAAUAGCUCACUGGUCGAGUCGGCCUGCGCGGAAGAUGUAACGGGGCUAAACCAUGCACCGAAGCUGCGGCAGCGACACUAUGUGUUGUUGGGUAGGGGAGCGUUCUGUAAGCCUGUGAAGGUGUGCUGUGAGGCAUGCUGGAGGUAUCAGAAGUGCGAAUGCUGACAUAAGUAACGAUAAAGCGGGUGAAAAGCCCGCUCGCCGGAAGACCAAGGGUUCCUGUCCAACGUUAAUCGGGGCAGGGUGAGUCGACCCCUAAGGCGAGGCCGAAAGGCGUAGUCGAUGGGAAACAGGUUAAUAUUCCUGUACUUGGUGUUACUGCGAAGGGGGGACGGAGAAGGCUAUGUUGGCCGGGCGACGGUUGUCCCGGUUUAAGCGUGUAGGCUGGUUUUCCAGGCAAAUCCGGAAAAUCAAGGCUGAGGCGUGAUGACGAGGCACUACGGUGCUGAAGCAACAAAUGCCCUGCUUCCAGGAAAAGCCUCUAAGCAUCAGGUAACAUCAAAUCGUACCCCAAACCGACACAGGUGGUCAGGUAGAGAAUACCAAGGCGCUUGAGAGAACUCGGGUGAAGGAACUAGGCAAAAUGGUGCCGUAACUUCGGGAGAAGGCACGCUGAUAUGUAGGUGAAGCGACUUGCUCGUGGAGCUGAAAUCAGUCGAAGAUACCAGCUGGCUGCAACUGUUUAUUAAAAACACAGCACUGUGCAAACACGAAAGUGGACGUAUACGGUGUGACGCCUGCCCGGUGC